CCUACGGGAGGCAGCAGUGGGGAAUAUUGCACAAUGGGGGAAACCCUGAUGCAGCGACGCCGCGUGAGUGAAGAAGUAAUUCGUUAUGUAAAGCUCUAUCAGCAGGGAAGAAAAUGACGGUACCUGAGUAAGAAGCCCCGGCUAACUACGUGCCAGCAGCAGCGGUAAUACGUAGGGGGCAAGCGUUAUCCGGAUUUACUGGGUGGAAAGGGAGCGUAGAAGGCAGUGCAAGUCUGGAGUGAAAGGCGGGGGCUCAACCCCCGGACUGCUCUGGAAACUGUACGGCUGGAGUGCAGGAGAGGUAAGUGGAAUUCCUAGUGUAGCGGUGAAAUGCGUAGAUAUUAGGAGGAACACCAGUGGCGAAGGCGGCUUACUGGACUGUAACUGACGUUGAGGCUCGAAAGCGUGGGGAGCAAACAGGAUUAGAUACCCCUGUAGUC
Molecule: ribosomal RNA, 440 nt
Filed under: uncultured bacterium
Lineage: Bacteria
Description: partial 16S ribosomal RNA
Rfam family: Bacterial small subunit ribosomal RNA
Source: RNAcentral